Molecule: long non-coding RNA, 732 nt
Organism: Oreochromis niloticus (Nile tilapia)
Lineage: Eukaryota; Metazoa; Chordata; Actinopteri; Cichliformes; Cichlidae
Exons: 2
Source: RefSeq, a predicted model, not a curated record
GUUCCAUGUGGCGUGGUGUUUGAUUGAUGCAGGCCUUCUCCAUCUACGCGAUGUGCUCACUGAUGCGGUGGUGAUGGAGUGAGAUACCCCUGCUGAAGCUGAUCUAGUGAGCAGCUGGCCUGUGUUCCUCGCUUGCACAGUGGCUUUGCAGUUGUUUUUCCAUCACAUCUUUCCCCUUCAUUAUCACUUGAGGGGUUUUUGUGUUGGUGGCUUCUCUUUAGGGAAAUGGAAGGAUUUACUGAGCCGCUUUCCACCUCAGUUGGCAGAUCUCAACUUUAGGAUGUGGUGGAGAGGUGGACAACCUGCAUCAUGCUUGUGCGGCCGUCAAAUCUGCAGCAACUGUGUGAUGCUGUCAUGUCAAUAUGGACCGAAGUCUCUGAGGAAUGUUUCCAGCACCUUGUUGAAUCUAUGCUGCAAAGAAAGAGGCAGUUCUGAAGGCAGAAGCAGGUCCAACCCAGUACUAGCAAUGUUUAAUUUGUGAAGUGGCUGGUACGUUUUUGUACAUUUGGAAACUAAUAAUCUGCACUACCAUUAAAAUUAAUGUUUUUUUGUUUCUAAUAAAUAACCCCACAACGGGCUGUUACUUGUUAUAAGGUUUAGCUAACAGACAUUUUUUUAAUACAUUUAGAUUUUUAGUUUAUUUGAAGCUGUUGAAAAUGACAAAAUUACCUUUAAGAAGAUGUGGCAUAACUGGAUUUACAACUGGAUUAAGAUUACCUGUAACCAUAGUAA